Molecule: long non-coding RNA, 307 nt
Organism: Arabidopsis lyrata subsp. lyrata
Lineage: Eukaryota; Viridiplantae; Streptophyta; Magnoliopsida; Brassicales; Brassicaceae
Exons: 2
Source: RefSeq, a predicted model, not a curated record
ACCUUUAGCCAAGUGGUAAGUGAUUGUUGAUUAGUGAAAAAACUUAGAAGCACAGAAUUGCGAAGAAGAAACAGAUACAAGGGAAGAGGAAAAGCAACACCAAUGGUGAGAAAUGGUUUGAUGCAGAGAUGGCUUACGUCAGAUGUAGGUGAAUAAUGGCAUUAAGGGGGAUUUUCCUAGCAACACUUCCAACCUAUAUGUGCAAGUUUUAAAUGUGAAUCUGUGGAUGUGAUAUUGACGAAGUUGAGGUCUGUAAUUGACAUUUGUGUAAUGAUUAAACUUGAAUUAAUUCUUAAUAUUGAUGCUA